AUGUAGCUGGACGAGUCCCAAAUAGAACGAAAUGCGCAUCCUGGAU
RNAcentral lists this non-coding RNA (46 nucleotides) under Trichobilharzia regenti. Lineage: Eukaryota; Metazoa; Platyhelminthes; Trematoda; Strigeidida; Schistosomatidae. The record is from RNAcentral.